CGGAGGGUGCAAGCGUUAUCCGGAUUCACUGGGUUUAAAGGGUGCGUAGGUGGGUCUGUAAGUCCGUGGUGAAAUCUCCGAGCUUAACUUGGAAACUGCCAUGGAUACUAUAGGUCUUGAAUACCGUGGAGGUCAGCGGAAUAUGUCAUGUAGCGGUGAAAUGUUUAGAUAUGACAUAGAACACCAAUUGCGAAGGCAGCUGGCUACACGAAUAUUGACACUGAGGCACGAAAGCGUGGGGAUCAAACAGGAUUAGAUACCCUGGUAGUCCACGCCCUAAACUAUGGAUACUCGACAUACGCGAUACACUGUGUGUGUCUGAGCGAAAGCAUUAAGUAUCCCACCUGGGAAGUACGAUCGCAAGAUUG
Molecule: ribosomal RNA, 368 nt
Filed under: uncultured organism
Description: bacterial SSU rRNA
Rfam family: Bacterial small subunit ribosomal RNA
Source: RNAcentral